AUUCCAUAGAUUUUUCCUCUCCCCUCCAGGGCUAAUGAGGAGAAAGUUUGCCAGGCUGAACAAAGAUGGGAAGGGUUUUCACUCGCCUGGAGCCCCAGCGUGGCCAGCUCCAGGCAAGGGCCAUUAUGGGGAGGUUGGGUACUGUCAUUCGAUUGCUGUGAGUGACUUUUGGGAGCAGGGCCAUCCAUCAGUUCUGUGAUCCACAUAAUUUGUCCUCUGAGAGCGGAAACAUGUUUCCCAGAGAGAAGCCUUUCAAGCUGUCUCUGGGCCUCAGGCUCCCGGGGCCAAGCCCACGUCUGACUGAGGGGGCUUAAGAUCUCACCGACGCUUCGUCAAUCACAUCGGGAAGGGAAGGAACCUUGGAAUAUUGCAGCGCAUUGCCCCCGCUAGUCCGGCAAUGUGUAAACACUUCAUGUGGUGGUGAUAAGAACAUAAAAAUGCUCAACACCCCAGACUCGGGUCUGGGAUCUUGUUCCGAGAUCAGCCUCUGCGUGGGCCCAUUUGGCUGCACCAGGAGCUGCCGUUGAGGACCUCAGCCCCCCGGCUUCCAUUUACCUACAAUUAGAGCCUGCUCUGGCCCCUUGGUGGACUUGGGAGGCCCUGGUGAUCCCAGAAUCCCUGCUGGGUAAUGGCCCUCACAGCAAGUGACCGAUUCACUCAUCCCUUCAUUCAUUCAUGCAGGCAGCCUUCUCCCAAGCAUGGGCCCCAAGCCAGGCUUUGGGGACUGAGAGGUGAAUCAGGGAGCCCCCAGGAGUCCUCACAGCCCCAAAUCCAGUGCAUGUGGUAUUUUUGGACUCAGUGGAUGGAGGCUAAGGGGUCCCCUGCGUGACCUGGGGCCUGAAGAUGCCGGUCUACGAGGAGGCUUAGAAUCGCUGAGCACUUCAGCUGUGCUGGAGGAAGGGGUCCUCGGAAGAAGAUGCUGCUGGGAGACGGUCGAAGGCCGGCAGUGUUGACUCCAAAGCGAGGCUGUCGACCGCGUGUGGGUAAUAACUGCCCACCUCCCUGGAACCCCAGCCAGGCCUGUGUUCCAGGCACUCGGGGCCACGCCCCAUCGUCUGCAUCACCGUCUGCACUCCACCUCCCAUCAGAUCAGUGGCGGCGUGAGAUUCUCAUGGGGGCGGGAACCCUAUUGUGAACUGCGAGUGCGAGGGAUCGAGGCUGCACGCUCCUUGUGAGCAUCUAAUGCCUGAUGAUCUGUCACUGUCUCCCAUCACCCUUAGAUGGGAAGGCCUAGUUGCAGGAAAACAAGCUCAGGACUCCCACGGAUUGUACACUAUGGGGGACGAAAAUAUAUGACUUAAAACGUGCAACCAGGA
RNAcentral lists this long non-coding RNA (1316 nucleotides) under Homo sapiens (human). RNAcentral's name for it is "HSALNT0000714". Lineage: Eukaryota; Metazoa; Chordata; Mammalia; Primates; Hominidae. The record is from RNAcentral.